UCGGGAAUUUUGGGCAAUGGGCGAAAGCCUGACCCAGCAACGCCGCGUGAAGGAUGAAGUAUUUCGGUAUGUAAACUUCGAAAGAAUAGGAAGAAUAAAUGACGGUACUAUUUAUAAGGUCCGGCUAACUACGUGCCAGCAGCCGCGGUAAUACGUAGGGACCAAGCGUUGUUCGGAUUUACUGGGCGUAAAGGGCGCGUAGGCGGCUUGACAAGUCACUUGUGAAAUCUCUGGGCUUAACCCAGAACGGCCAAGUGAAACUGUCAUGCUAGAGUGCAGAAGGGGCAAUCGGAAUUCUUGGUGUAGCGGUGAAAUGCGUAGAUAUCAAGAGGAACACCUGAGGUGAAGACGGGUUGCUGGGCUGACACUGACGCUGAGGCGCGAAAGCCAGGGGAGCAAACGGGAUUAGAUACCCGCGUAGUCCCUGAGCGGGCUGGCAAGGCGCAU
RNAcentral lists this ribosomal RNA (447 nucleotides) under uncultured bacterium. RNAcentral describes it as "bacterial SSU rRNA". It matches the Rfam family "Bacterial small subunit ribosomal RNA", at positions 355 to 825 of the family's 1533-position model. The record is from RNAcentral.